RNAcentral lists this ribosomal RNA (878 nucleotides) under uncultured Acidobacteriaceae bacterium. Its description in RNAcentral is "bacterial SSU rRNA". It matches the Rfam family "Bacterial small subunit ribosomal RNA", at positions 8 to 916 of the family's 1533-position model. Lineage: Bacteria; Pseudomonadati; Acidobacteriota; Terriglobia; Terriglobales; Acidobacteriaceae. The record is from RNAcentral.
AGAGUUUGAUCCUGGCUCAGAAUCAACGCUGGCGGCGCGCCUAACACAUGCAAGUCGAACGAGAAAGCCGGAGCAAUCUGGUGAGUAAAGUGGCGUACAGGUGAGUAACACGUGGAUGAUCUACCUUUUAGUGAGGAAUAACCAAGGGAAACUUUGGCUAAUACCGCAUGAGCUCGAGAGAGGAAAGUCGCAAGACGCUGAAAGAGGAGUCCGCGGCCGAUUAGCUAGUUGGUAGGGUAAAAGCCUACCAAGGCUUAGAUCGGUAGCCGGCCUGAGAGGGCACACGGCCACACUGGCACUGAAACACGGGCCAGACUCCUACGGGAGGCAGCAGUGGGGAAUCUUGCACAAUGGGGGAAACCCUGAUGCAGCGACGCCGCGUGAGCGAUGAAGCCCUUCGGGGUGUAAAGCUCUUUCGGCAGGGAAGAUAGUGACGGUACCUGCAGAAGCAGCUGCGGCUAACUACGUGCCAGCAGCCGCGGUAAUACGUAGGCAGCGAGCGUUGUUCGGAGUUACUGGGCGUAAAGGGUGUGUAGGCGGUCGUUUAAGUUUGGUGUGAAAUCUCCCGGCUCAACUGGGAGGGUGCGCCGAAUACUGAAUGACUUCGAGUGCGGGAGAGGAAAGUGGAAUUCCUGGUGUAGCGGUGAAAUGCGUAGAUAUCAGGAGGAACACCGGUGGUGUAGACGGCUUUCUGGACCGUAACUGACGCUGAGACACGAAAGCGUGGGUAGCAAACAGGAUUAGAUACCCUGGUAGUCCACGCCCUAAACGAUGCAUAUUUGGUGUGGGCAGUUCAUUCUGUCCGUGCCGGAGCUAACGCGUUAAAUAUGCCGCCUGGGGAGUACAGUCGCAAGGCUGAAACUUAAAGGAAUUGACGG